This 24-nucleotide small nuclear RNA is filed under the name Arabidopsis thaliana (thale cress). RNAcentral describes it as "snRNA_17669". Lineage: Eukaryota; Viridiplantae; Streptophyta; Magnoliopsida; Brassicales; Brassicaceae. The record is from RNAcentral.
CACGAGGACUUCCCGGGAGGUCAU